Lagenorhynchus albirostris (white-beaked dolphin) is the source of this 292-nucleotide long non-coding RNA. RefSeq lists it as uncharacterized. The record is from RefSeq and is a predicted model, not a curated record. NCBI's taxonomy places the organism in Eukaryota, Metazoa, Chordata, Mammalia, Artiodactyla, Delphinidae. The transcript has 3 exons.
CACAGCAGCCCUGCCUUCAGUGGAGGAGGCAUGGCCCCUUCAGAACAGCCUCUGUCCAGGGAUGCAGAAAAGAAGGAAAAACCACCACAUGGUGCUGUCAGGGGUCCCAGGCUCCACAGAAAAGAUAUUCUUGAGAGACAAUGAAAACGGAAACAACACAAAAUGAAAAUGGAUCUUAGCUCCCUGACCAGGGAUUUAACCUGUGCCCCCUUGCAGUGGAAGCAUGGAAUCCUAACCACUGGACUGCCAUGGAGUUUGGGAUUGACAUGUACCCACUGCUGUAUUUUAAAUA